RNAcentral lists this long non-coding RNA (624 nucleotides) under Marmota monax (woodchuck). Lineage: Eukaryota; Metazoa; Chordata; Mammalia; Rodentia; Sciuridae. The record is from RNAcentral.
CCCGAGGCUCCGCCCCUUGCUUGGUGUGUCCCGCCUCCCCCAUGCAGAAACUGGAAGUGGAAGUAAGCCUCUACACUGGUGCCUUGGGGCCUCCCGGUCAGGUGGUUCCUCAAGGGCGUUUCUCCUUUACAAGGGGUUUCCUCAGUCAGUUUCCCAGCCAUCUUGGGUGCAUCCCUGGCUUGUAGCCCGGGCUUCCCUCAUCUGGGUGGCCCUAGACCCAGGUGGGCUCCUCCCGCUCCUGGCUCCCUGGUGACCACAGCGGGAACUCAGGGCUUCACCUGUGGCUGGGGAGUUUCCCGUAGGCGGGAGCUGGCGAGCCUGAGGUGUUUCCGGUCUCCACCCGAAGCCUCUCUGCAGAGAUCGGAAGCCAUGCUGGUAUCCGGUUUGGACAAGAGCCUGGAGAGGGUGUCCAUGGGGUUCCUUCCUUUCUAGCCAGCUAAAUUUAGUCUCCCAGUCUCCUGUGUUGAAAUAGAUUUGUCACUGUGUCAUGACCAAGGGGAUGAACCAUACAAUCUUUUUAGUAUUAAUGCUGUGAAUUUUACUAACCAGUGAUAAAUGUCCUUGUUUGUUUUGUGGUGCUGGAGACCGAGCCCAGGGCCUCACCCAUGCGCAGGGAUGUUCUAC